This 73-nucleotide transfer RNA is filed under the name Chloroflexota bacterium. RNAcentral describes it as "tRNA-Ile". It matches the Rfam family "tRNA". From Rfam's summary of the family: Transfer RNA (tRNA) molecules are approximately 80 nucleotides in length. Lineage: Bacteria; Bacillati; Chloroflexota. The record is from RNAcentral.
GAUGGCAUAGCUCAAGCGGCAGAGCAGUAGUUUUAUACCCUACAGGUUGGGGGUUCGAGUCCUCCUGCCAUCA